CCCUUAGAUGUUCUGGGCCGCACGCGCGCUACACUGAUGCGUUCAGCGAGUUGUUUUUCAAAAUCCUUGGUCGAGAGGCCUGGGUAAUCUUGUGAACGCGCAUCGUGCUAGGGAUAGAUUGUUGCAAUUCUCAAUCUUGAACGAGGAAUUCCUAGUAAACGCAAGUCAUCAGCUUGCAUUGAUUACGUCCCUGCCCUUUGUACACACCGCCCGUCGCACCUACCGAUUGAAUGACUCGGUGAAAAAUUGGGACCGUGAGUCAAGUUGCUUCAUUGCGACUCGACUCGUGGGAACUCUUUUGAACCUCGCCAUUUAGAGGAAGGUGAAGUCGUAACA
RNAcentral lists this ribosomal RNA (336 nucleotides) under uncultured eukaryote. RNAcentral's name for it is "partial 18S ribosomal RNA". It matches the Rfam family "Eukaryotic small subunit ribosomal RNA", at positions 1470 to 1796 of the family's 1831-position model. The record is from RNAcentral.